RNAcentral lists this ribosomal RNA (241 nucleotides) under uncultured Actinomycetales bacterium. RNAcentral's name for it is "partial 16S ribosomal RNA". It matches the Rfam family "Bacterial small subunit ribosomal RNA", at positions 89 to 334 of the family's 1533-position model. Lineage: Bacteria; Bacillati; Actinomycetota; Actinomycetes; Actinomycetales. The record is from RNAcentral.
ACUCGAGUGGCGAACGGGUGAGUAACACGUGGGUGAUCUGCCCUGCACUUCGGGAUAAGCCUGGGAAACUGGGUCUAAUACCGGAUAGGAGCCAUUUUUAGUGUGAUGGUUGGAAAGUUUUUCGGUGCAGGAUGAGCUCGCGGCCUAUCAGCUUGUUGGUGGGGUAAUGGCCUACCAAGGCUUUGACGGGUAGCCGGCCUGAGAGGGUGACCGGCCACAUUGGGACUGAGAUACGGCCCAG